UUCUCGACUCUUCGUGCUAUUGGGUGAUCGGUCAGUCGGUUGGUCGAGUCAGUUCGCGUUUGUUGUUUCUCGUACGAGGUCCGGUGGGGUAUUGUCGCGAGCUCAUACUCUAUUUACGUUUCUCGUCGAGAGAUUUGCAUUGCCGGGAUGCCGAAAAGGAAGAGUCAAGCAUUGAUAGACUCCGAUAGCAGCGGGAGUGCGUCAGAAAGCGGUUCAGACUUGGACAAUGACCUAUUGUCAUUGGCAAAGAAAAAGAAACGAAAGUCUCAAGAUGAUUCUCAGUCGAAUGAAGAUAACGGAGCCAUUAAAAAAGACGUUAAACACGAUACAGACACGUCAGAUUCCGACGACAAUUGGAAUAGCAAGACUGGAAAAACCAAGAAAAAGAAAGUGCCAAAAAAGAGCAAGCGGAAGAUGACAAAAUCUAGUACAGAAGAUAGUGCUAGUGAGAAAGAACCAGCCAAGGAACUUUCAGAGCCAGAAGAAGGUGAAGUGUCAGAUUCGGAUGCGAGUGUUUCCGAUUCUAGCCAAGAAGAAUUCAACGAUGGUUACGACGACAAACUCAUGGGUGACGCAGAAGAUCAAGCUAGACUCGCUCAAAUGACCGAGAAGGAACGGGAGCAAGAAAUUUUUAAACGAAUCGAGCAACGUGAGAUCAUGAAAACAAGAUUCGAAAUUGAAAAGAAAUUACGAAUGGCUAAGAAACAGGAAUUGAAAAAGCAAAAGGAAUCGAAGAAGAAGGAGAAGGGUAUUGAGGAGAGACAAAAAGUAGACAGGGCACCGGACCCUAAGGAAAGAAGUAAGGAUCGUAAGAAAACGAUAGAAGAGAAGCAGGAUAAGAAGUUCCAUGCAAUGUCGCUGCUUAAAGCGAGACGCGAAGAGAAGAAGGAACGAGAGGAAAAAGAGAAACAGAGGAUAGAGCAGCAACAGCAACAGCUGAAGGAUAUAGAGGAAGAAGAGCUGGAAGAUGAUCAUAAGGGUGGCGGAAAUAAGACGAAACUUAAAGCAUCAGAUAUAUAUUCCGAUGACAGUGGUUCAUCGGAUAGUGCGGAAGAGGAAGAGGAAGUAGCGAAACCAUCGUCUCAACGUAGAUCAUCCUCCAGCGAAAGUCGCGACUCGGAUUCUGAUAAUGAUAAAAAAUCGGUUACUAGUGCCAAGGCUAGACCGAAGAAGCCGGUAUACAUUAGUACUAAGGAAGAUCUAAACAAGAUUCGAUUAUCUCGUUACAAGAUGGAGAGAUUCGUCCAUUUACCUUUCUUCGACAGGGUAGUGCAGGGCUGCUUCGUCAGAAUUGGGAUCGGCAAUAAUAACGGUAAACCUGUCUAUAGAGUAGCCGAGAUAAGCGGCGUGUGCGAGACGGGGAAGAUUUAUCAGCUCGGCGGCACGAGAACGAACAAGGGAUUGAAGUUGCGCCACGGUGCGCAGGAACGCGUGUUUAGGCUGGAGUUCGUCUCGAACCAGGAGUUCACGGACUCGGAAUUCUUCAAGUGGAAAGAAACGUGCGCGUUGCAAGGGAUAUCGACGCCUACGUUUGACGAGGUGGAACAAAAACUGAAGGAUAUUAAGGAGGCGUUGGUAUACGAGUUCAAGGAGGAGGAUAUAGAGAAGAUAGUCCGCGAGAAGGAGAGAUUCAAACAAACGCCGUACAAUUAUGCAAUGAAGAAGGCUCAAUUGAUGAGGGAACGCGACGCAGCUAACUGCAGGGGAGAUGACGAGACUGCUAGUCGUCUUAACCAGGAAUUAAGCGAGUUGGAGGAGCGCGCGUCGGAACUGGACAAGAUGCGUACAGCAACCAUCUCCAGUAUAUCGUACAUAAACGAUCGCAACAGAAAGAGAAACGUGGAGCAGGCUGAGAAAGCUAUAAUGGAAGAAAUAAAGGCUAAUAAGGGCAAGAAAGUCGACGAUCCAUUCACCAGGCGAAGUACUAAACCGAGGAUGGUGUACAAGCCGGAAGAUGAAUCUGAGACAAUAACCGCAACUCCAGUAAGCGACAAGUCGAAUGCCCAUCCGGCUGGGGAUUCGAUGUCGACUGCUAACGAUAAAGAGAACGGACAGGAAUCUAAGAAGAAGCAGAGCACGGAAGACCUGUUCGAUGCACAUGAUUUCGAUAUAACCAUUGAUCUGGAAGUUCCUAUUCCAAACAACCCUGUCAGUGUCUUACCGAAACCUAUCAACAAUAUCAAGGACACGGGACCUCGUCGAUCAUUAAAUCUAGAAGAUUAUAAAAAGAAGCGUGGCCUCAUCUAACAGUCGACACGUUCUCGACGUUGUAAAGACACGACAAGUUAUCGAAGCAACUAUCUUGUAGCAAUUAAAGGUAUCGCCUCGCUUCGCCAAACGCGAUUGGCGAAUGAGGAGCUGAUGGUAUUUCGGUAAAGAGCAUUGCUAGCUACUACGUCCAUUCAUCGUGACACUCAGCAUAUUAUACAUCUUAAAUCUUUCCAAUUAGGACGAAGCGACUUUUUGUCAUGCUCCAGACACUGCGCUACAUGAAACGUAUAACUGGGUUCUCCCAUGAAAAUGACACAAUUGGAACAUGUUCUUUAAUAGCUACAUAAUUAAAGGCUAAGGCGUAUUAUUUGAUAUCAAGAGAAAUAUAGUGCUCUUUAUCUUCCAACGUUGUAGCGCUCUUGUGUUUCAUAUCUAAGAAUAAGAAAGAAGAUAUGAAAAAAUAUAUGCAAAGGAAGGAAGAUACACUUGCAUUUAACGAUGGAAAAACUAUUAGCCAUGUGAGUAAACUCUACGCUACUUACGGAAAUAUUUGUUCAAGAAUAUAGAAAUUAAUUACAACGCAACGUAAUUACAAUACGCGAUACAUAUGUGAGCGCGUCGUAUAUUGUGUACAUGAUAGAAUAAAAAAAUCUUGCUAAAAAGUCAUUUUGUCAUAAAACAGAAUGCAUAUAAUUAACGUAGAUAAUAAUUAAUUAUAUUAAUAUCAAGUAAUCAUUAUUACUCUUAAUUAAAUCUCUCUCGCGCACAUAUAUUUCUACUGUAAUUAAUGCAUUUUGAAGUAUGAUAUAUUGCCGUUUUAAUAUUUGUCGCAAUUUAGUGCCAACAUAAUUUCUAUGAAAAAAACAUUGUAUAUAAAUCAUGCAUCUAUUUCGAAUUUGUUAUAAUUUUUAUUCUUCGGGAAGGGACUUGGGGAUAUUGAUACAAUCGAAAAAAAGUACCGUUAAUAAUAUAUAGAUUUUUUUCUUAUUUAAAUUGAGAAAUUAGCCGAGCUAAUUAGAAACUAGCUUAAGCCAUCAGAUUGAUGGCACCUUAUUAUUAAUCAAUUAAUUAAUUAGUUUUUUAUGAAUUUAACAUUGUUGAAUGUAUUGUAAUUUUGCAAUGAAGAUACAUCGGUUGCGUACAAAAUAGCAUACAUUUAUUAUCAUGGCAUAUAAGAACACAUAAUAUAUAUGCAAAACGGAAAUUGUAUUCUAUUUUAUUAUAUCGUAACAUGAUAUUUUUUCGUAUACGUAUUUAUAUAUUUGUCGAAAUUGUAUAUACAUAUAUUUAGACAUGUGCUAUGUUUAAACAUAGAUAAGCUUGGAGAACUUUUUUUUUAUCAUUUUCAAGUUCUAUUUUUCUGACUGAGAAAACAUCUUUGAAAAAGUUAUAUUGUACUUGUGUAAGCAGCAUUGGCAUUGCUUACCUCGUGAUUAUAAAAAGCAAUCUAUAUCUGUAUAAUAUAUUCUUUGUAUGGUAUAUUCACGAAGAAGUUAGAGAGAGCCAAGCGCUAAAAUGAUAGCAUAAUGUUUAUAAUACUCGGAAGAGUGACAAGUAAUAGAUAGAAUUAAAAAAUAGGUCAAGUUCUUAUACACUUUUUAUUAUUUUGAAGUAGUAUAUAAGUUACGUGCAAAAGUUAGAUUUAUCAAUAUAGCGCGUAUAACAGCUUUGUUUUUUUCUUUUUUGUUUGUUAUUGAUGUGAUGCGUAAUUUUUUAAUUAUUCUUACGAUGUCUAAAAUGAGUUUUACAAUUAUGCGUUAUCACAAAACACGUACGUUUUAUCAGAAAAAUAUCUAUGUGCACGGUUCUAGCAUUAAUUAUAUCAUUUAUUGUAAAUUAUGAAGAAAUUUGUCUAUGAGAUAAUGAUUUUGUCUAUUAUUCUAGGGUAUACGUAAUGGUGUCUGUUGCUCUUAAAUGUACAAAGAUACGAUCACUGUAAACUGUAUAAUUACUAUUAUUAUCAGUAUUAAGAAAAUAUAUGCGAGUACUCAAAAACCUA
RNAcentral lists this unclassified non-coding RNA (4210 nucleotides) under Ooceraea biroi (clonal raider ant). Its description in RNAcentral is "rNA polymerase-associated protein RTF1 homolog, transcript variant X1". The record is from RNAcentral. Lineage: Eukaryota; Metazoa; Arthropoda; Insecta; Hymenoptera; Formicidae.